AGGCUGAGCGGAUGGGAC
RNAcentral lists this unclassified non-coding RNA (18 nucleotides) under Mus musculus (house mouse). RNAcentral describes it as "oocyte_clustered_small_RNA12488". Lineage: Eukaryota; Metazoa; Chordata; Mammalia; Rodentia; Muridae. The record is from RNAcentral.